Molecule: long non-coding RNA, 1641 nt
Organism: Cyprinus carpio carpio
Lineage: Eukaryota; Metazoa; Chordata; Actinopteri; Cypriniformes; Cyprinidae
Source: Ensembl
AUGUUGCUGGAUAGUGAAUGGACCAAUGUAACUUGUAACAAGGCAACCAGAGCUAAAGUGUGUAUCUGCUCUCCUGAUAUUGGCCUGGCUUUUGUGAUGCCAAAUUGCCCUUUGAAGGUGGAUGUGAGCUGUGUCCCAGACACUCUUUCUAUGCCAGAAACAACAGUCCACAGCUGGAACCUCAGACCACUCACGGGACCAUGGAAACACGGAGCUGCCAGGCCAGAGUCCCGACUGGACGUCCAAACACACGGUCUCAAAGGCAGUGGGAAAUCCUUUUACAGGAACCAGAAGGCAAGUCGAUGUCAACAGAGCGAGGCCGGUGGAGUAAAUGUUAAUGAGCGACACAUGCGCCACUCACAGAUCUUGGGUCCCACAGAGGAGCUCUGGAAGGAUAAAAGGAGGAGUGACGACAGUGAAGGACGAGAGAGGACCAAGGAAUAGCAGAAAGAUCUGCAAAAGGUGGAUUCAAACUCUAGUCCACUCCAUCAUAUGCUUCAUCCAAGCAUUGCUUUCUAUGACCUGUGCCACUGCAGAUGCUCACUAACACCCUCCGAAGAGAUAAAAUGAACAUUACAUGAGUGUGUUUAUUCUCAGCAUUGUAUUUCGACUUUUUUCUUGUAGUUUAAUGAGUUUAUUCUUAAUAUUUUAUUUCAACUUUUUUUCUUGAAAUGCAACAAGUUUUUUCUCAAAACAAAACAACUUUUUUCUUGUAAUUUAAUGAGUAUUCUCAACAUUUUAUGUCGACAUUUUUCUUGAAAUUUAACGAGUUUAGUCUCACAUUAUAAUGACUUUAAUCUCGAGAUUGUAUUUUUUUUUUUUAUUAUUAUUAUUGCUUGGCCCUAAUCCUCUUCCAUAUAAAAGUGCCUAAUUGACACAACAUGAUUUUUUUUUCUUUUUUUAAAAAAAAAAAAAAAAAAAAAAAAGCUUCUUUAUAAGGAUAAAUUAAAUAAGGUUGUUUAAAACACUAUUAACUUUUUAUAUAGUACUUUCAAAGCAUGGUUCUUUAUGGAACCUUAUAAAAAAAGUUAUAUUUAGCACUAAAAUAUUUCUGCUAUUAUUACAAACUGAAAAAAAACACAAUCUGGUACUGUUUAGAAUCAUUUUCCCUUAAGAGUGUAGACCUGUAAGUAAUUACUAGUCCUUUCGAAAUGAUUUCCCCAUCCUUGGCCUGAUCUGUUUUGAUAUCUGAAAUAGAUGUAUCUAAACCAGUUUGUGCUUUAAGAGAAUUGCCAACACGUCAUGCAUCCCUCGUUAAAAACCCUAAAUAGAUGAACAAGUGUCUAUUUGUCAGUAGUGCGGCAGAGAACCAAAUUAGAAACAGGCUUUUUCACAGAGCUUAGCUCUCAUGAAGACCGUUUGACAGUUUGAUGACUCAUUUCCAAAUGAAAUGCUUCAGUUGCUUGAUUCUGUUCAACAGAGUUCAUCUGUUUUAGCACUCUCACUAUCACACAAAGCUACGUUAAGCGAAAUAGCCAUGAACGUACAUAUACUGUAUCUAUCUGUCAUCAGUCAUCCAGUUUGUGAAAGAUUGUGCCCAGUCUAUGAAAUAAUCUAUUACAGUUUUUUUUUCAAUCGCUAACAAGCACUUAUCCAUACUUCAGAUACUUUUUCUAAACUCUUAACACAGACUCACACCUA